This is a long non-coding RNA of Aedes albopictus (Asian tiger mosquito), 315 nucleotides long. RefSeq lists it as uncharacterized. The record is from RefSeq and is a predicted model, not a curated record. The transcript has 2 exons. Lineage: Eukaryota; Metazoa; Arthropoda; Insecta; Diptera; Culicidae.
GUACAAGUAUGCCUUGCUUUUGGUUGUUGCGGUUGUUAUUAACUUGCAAGUCGCUUGGUAGGAAUAGAGCCGCUCAGAGCUCUAAUGAGGUCUUUUACGUACAGGUAUUCUUGGUUUCGCUGAGCCUGGAAGAAGGCCAAGGAGCAUUCAGCCCCGCCGUGAUGUUCUUGUUUACGACGUCCGUAUCGUUACGUUCGUCAAAUCGUAAUUCGAUCGGAAUCCCGAUUCGUGACGAGGAAUGAGACUGUGGCCCUUAUUAUGAGUGUCACUUCACGGUGAAAACCGAUCACGGUGACACAUUGCGAAUCCACGGUG